GACGAACGCUGGCGGCGUGCUUAACACAUGCAAGUCGAACGGAAAGGCCCUUCGGGGUUCUCGAGUGGCGAACGGGUGAGUAAAACGUGGGUGAUUUGCCCUGCACUUUGGGAUACGCCUGGGAUACUGGGUCUAAUACUGAAUUGGUCCACGCGCCUCCUGGUGUGUGGUGGCAAGCUUUUGUGGUGUGGGAUGGGCGUGCGGCCUACCAGCUUGUUGGUGGGGUAAUGGCCUACCAAGGCGACGACGGGUAGCCGGCCUGAGAGGGUGACCGGCCACACUGGGACUGAGAUACGGCGCAGACUCCUACGGGAGGCAGCAGUGGGGAAUAUUGCACAAUGGGCGCAAGCCUGAUGCAGCGACGCCGCGUGAGGGAUGACGGCCUGCGGGUUGUAAACCGCUUUCAAUAGGGACGAAGCGCAAGUGACGGUACCUAUAGAAGAAGCACCGGCCAACUACGUG
Molecule: ribosomal RNA, 462 nt
Filed under: uncultured bacterium
Lineage: Bacteria
Description: partial 16S ribosomal RNA
Rfam family: Bacterial small subunit ribosomal RNA
Source: RNAcentral